Molecule: ribosomal RNA, 468 nt
Filed under: uncultured bacterium
Lineage: Bacteria
Description: partial 16S ribosomal RNA
Rfam family: Bacterial small subunit ribosomal RNA
Source: RNAcentral
GACGAACGCUGGCGGCGUGCUUAACACAUGCAAGUCGAACGGAAAGGCCCUGCUUUUGUGGGGUGCUCGAGUGGCGAACGGGUGAGUAACACGUGAGUAACCUGCCCUUGACUUUGGGAUAACUUCAGGAAACUGGGGCUAAUACCGGAUAGGAGCUCCUGCGGCAUGGUGGGGGUUGGAAAGUUUCGGCGGUUGGGGAUGGACUCGCGGCUUAUCAGCUUGUUGGUGGGGUAGUGGCUUACCAAGGCGUUGACGGGUAGCCGGCCUGAGAGGGUGACCGGCCACAUUGGGACUGAGAUACGGCCCAGACUCCUACGGGAGGCAGCAGUGGGGAAUAUUGCACAAUGGGCGGAAGCCUGAUGCAGCAACGCCGCGUGCGGGAUGACGGCCUUCGGGUUGUACACCGCUUUCGCCUGUGACGAAGCGUGAGUGACGGUAAUGGGUAGAGAAGCACCGGCUAACUACGUG